AAGGGUUAGUGGCGCACGGGUGAGUAACACGUAGGUGACCUGCCCCGAAGUGGGGGAUAACUUCUCGAAAGAGAAGCUAAUACCGCAUAUGCUCAGCCAUUCAGUUGGUUGAGUAAAGCUCCGGCGCUUCGGGAGGGGCCUGCGUCCGAUUAGCUAGUUGGUGGGGUAAUGGCCUACCAAGGCGAUGAUCGGUAGCUGGUCUGAGAGGACGAUCAGCCACACUGGCACUGACACACGGGCCAGACUCCUACGGGAGGCAGCAGUGAGGAAUAUUGGUCAAUGGGCGAAAGCCUGAACCAGCAACGCCGCGUGAGGGAUGAAGGCCUUCGGGUCGUAAACCUCUUUUCUGGGAGAAGAGACAAGGACGGUAUCCCAGGAAUAAGUCUCGGCUAACUACGUGCCAGCAGCCGCGGUAAAAACGUAGGAGGCAAAGCGUUAUCCGGAUUUACUGGGCGUAAAGCGCACGCAGGCGGCUGCGUAAGUCGGACGUGAAAGCUCCUGGCUCAACUGGGAGAGGUCGUUCGAAACUACGCGGCUUGAGGUUGGAAGA
RNAcentral lists this ribosomal RNA (550 nucleotides) under uncultured bacterium. RNAcentral describes it as "bacterial SSU rRNA". It matches the Rfam family "Bacterial small subunit ribosomal RNA", at positions 87 to 655 of the family's 1533-position model. The record is from RNAcentral.